AGAGUUUGAUCCUGGCUCAGGAUGAACGCUAGCGGCAGGCUUAACACAUGCAAGUCGAGGGGCAGCACAGAUUGCUUGCAAUCUGGUGGCGACCGGCGCACGGGUGCGUAACGCGUAUACAAUCUACCUUAUAGAGGGGGAUAGCCCAGAGAAAUUUGGAUUAAUACCCCAUAGUAUUAUAGAACAGCAUUGUUUUAUGAUUAAACAUUUAUGGCUAUAAGAUGAGUAUGCGUCCUAUUAGUUAGUUGGUAAGGUAACGGCUUACCAAGACCGCGAUAGGUAGGGGUCCUGAGAGGGAGAUCCCCCACACUGGUACUGAGACACGGACCAGACUCCUACGGGAGGCAGCAGUGAGGAAUAUUGGACAAUGGGCGAGAGCCUGAUCCAGCCAUGCCGCGUGCAGGAAGACGGCCCUAUGGGUUGUAAACUGCUUUUAUACAGGAAGAAACACUCCCUCGUGAGGGAGCUUGACGGUACUGUAAGAAUAAGGAUCGGCUAACUCCGUGCCAGCAGCCGCGGUAAUACGGAGGAUCCAAGCGUUAUCCGGAAUCAUUGGGUUUAAAGGGUCCGUAGGCGGGAUAAUAAGUUAGCGGUGAAAGUCUGUGGCUCAACCAUAGAAUUGCCAUUGAUACUGUUGUUCUUGAGUGCUUAUGAAGUGGUUAGAAUAUGUAGUGUAGCGGUGAAAUGCAUAGAUAUUACAUGGAAUACCGAUUGCGAAGGCAGAUCACUAAUAAGAUACUGACGCUGAUGGACGAAAGCGUAGGUAGCGAACAGGAUUAGAUACCCUGGUAGCCUACGCCGUAAACGAUGGUUACUAGCUGUUUGGUCGUAAGACUGAGUGGCUAAGCGAAAGUGAUAAGUAGCCCACCUGGGGAGUACGUUCGCAAGAAUGAAACUCAAAGGAAUUGACGGG
Molecule: ribosomal RNA, 913 nt
Filed under: uncultured bacterium
Lineage: Bacteria
Description: bacterial SSU rRNA
Rfam family: Bacterial small subunit ribosomal RNA
Source: RNAcentral